GUGUAUUGGUCUUUGCCAAAUGGGUAUACUCAAUAUAUUUAGAGAUAUAUUAACAAAACAUGCCCAGCAAUCGCUUGGAUGCGAUGCGGACUUAGGUAGGUAAAACAUCAGAUAUUAAAAGUGGCAUGCUUAAAAGGUGUAAAGGCAGCUGCCGUCGUCGCUCCUUGCCGUUGGGUCGUAGUUCUUGGCAUUUUGGUCGGUGCAACCUUCCGGCACGGGCAAAGUACCUUGCUGUGCUCCUUUACCUGC
Molecule: long non-coding RNA, 249 nt
Filed under: Hordeum vulgare
Lineage: Eukaryota; Viridiplantae; Streptophyta; Magnoliopsida; Poales; Poaceae
Description: long non-coding RNA (HVUL_LNC009180)
Source: RNAcentral